Molecule: unclassified non-coding RNA, 211 nt
Filed under: Hevea brasiliensis (rubber tree)
Lineage: Eukaryota; Viridiplantae; Streptophyta; Magnoliopsida; Malpighiales; Euphorbiaceae
Source: RNAcentral
GAAAAAUGAGAAGAAUGAGAAGAAUGAAAAGAGUAAGAGGAAAGAAAAUGAGAAAUAUGCUAAGCAAGAGAAAAACAGUCAGAGUGAUGCAUUAUAAGAGGAAGUUAUAGAAGAAAGUGAAAGAAAUGAGUGUGAAAAGAACAAGAGUGUAAGAAAAAGUAAAGAGGAGGUUGACGAGAAAAAGAAGAAGUACAUUCCUCUUGAACCUUAC